This 77-nucleotide transfer RNA is filed under the name Pseudovibrio sp. Tun.PSC04-5.I4. RNAcentral describes it as "tRNA_Arg_TCT". It matches the Rfam family "tRNA". Rfam says of the family: Transfer RNA (tRNA) molecules are approximately 80 nucleotides in length. The record is from RNAcentral. Lineage: Bacteria; Pseudomonadati; Pseudomonadota; Alphaproteobacteria; Hyphomicrobiales; Stappiaceae.
GGUCCCUUAGCUCAGCUGGAUAGAGCACCGGCCUUCUAAGCCGACGGUCGCUGGUUCGAAUCCAGCAGGGAUCACCA